Molecule: long non-coding RNA, 4344 nt
Organism: Numida meleagris (helmeted guineafowl)
Lineage: Eukaryota; Metazoa; Chordata; Aves; Galliformes; Numididae
Exons: 3
Source: RefSeq, a predicted model, not a curated record
UUCGUGAGCCGGCCUCGCGGGUGGGAUGCGGGCUGAAGAGAGGAGGGAAGGGGGAGCGGCGCGAGGCGCGGGAUUGACUCAGCACCAGGUGCCGGGCUCCCGCAGGGCGUUGGCCACCUGUCCCGCCGCGCCGCGGGGACGGAGGGCGGCGGGGAGGCGCGGGCCGCUCGGGGGCCGCCGUCCGGCCGCUCCCUGCGAGUUCCAUCCGGGCACACUUGUAGGAAGUGCAAGUUGAGCCAAGUUUUCUGCAGUUCUCAUGAGGCAGCAGCAUUUCAGCAGGCAGAGCUGGAGGAGUCAAGCAGGCAGAAUCAGUGCACAAUUAGCAAGAGAAAAACAACAAAAUCUCCAUCCAAUUUGCUUCUAGCUUGACAGAUAAUGAAAAACAUUUCAGAUUUAUCCUUUCUGAAUUGCCCACAGCCCUAUUUCAUAUUCAAGAGUAAAGAAUCCAUCUCAGAUAAUAAUUUGUUGAACUCGUAGUACCAUUGUGAAAAUUAAUGGUUAUGUUAAGUGAGCAGAUAUUCAGCUCAUAUACAAUUCAUCAUAAAUUCAGGAAUGGCAAGAAAACUACAUCAAUUAGCACACGAUGAAGAUGUGAACAGUAAAUGUACAUUACAGUAUAUUACACUAUCUCCCUCAAAACACAUGACUAAUCUAGUAAUACUGAAAUAGUGAAGCAAUAAAAAUAAUUAAUACAUUAGGAAAAAUGAAGAACCAAUGACAGGACACCAAUGAACUCAGCAUGCCACGUACAAAAAAACAUUAGGACAACUUUGGUUAAGCAUACCAGGGCAAACACUUUGCCACAAAAUCUUUUACAGUUUCAUUUAACCUCAAAAUUACAGAGGGGCUGAGUAAUCCUGCCAGGAUUUGAAUUAGUGGUUCCAGGGAGACUAGGAGCUAAGCCACAGGUAGAACAGAGGAGGGUGGUCAGAAAAGGUGUGGAGCAGGCAGAGCAAACAGGAACGUCCAUUUCUGGACUUUAACUUCCACCCUCUUGUUUGCUCCUGCUGCACAAUUGCCUUUCUGUUAAUGAGACUACCUUUAACAUAGUGGACCAAAUUCAGCUCUGGCUCCUAGUGCUAAGUUCUUUGUGUUGUACCAGCAGGGCAAAGGGCUGUCCUAAUGGAGAAGCUGGCAAUAUCUGGACACCAAGAGCAAUCCAGCUGUGGUGUUAUCAGUGUAAAGUGUUCGUACCACUCGCUCCCAGUGCAGACCAGGAAACUCUUCAGGGCACUGCAUGGGCCAGGUCUGAGGUACCUCUUGCAACAGAAGCACCCAUAUGAAACAAGUUAAUCCCAGCCCUGCAAAGUUCUAAGGGAAAGGAAAAGUUGGCUUUGUCUACCUCUUGCAACAGGUUCUCCAUUCAGCUCAGCUUCUCUGAGUGGGCAAAUCAGCAGUUAAGUGCAACUGUCACUGUCUUAUGCACUCCAGAGGUUGCCUUUUUGUGUAUCUUCAGGUAUUUUACAUCCAGCAGUGACUUCUGUAGGCCCAGUUGCUGCCACUAACUCCAAUUGUCAUGACUGAAUCAUUUAUUAUUCUUGAAUAAAUGUCACUUACAAAUUAGCUCUGUAGUAAAAGUCUCUUUUCUUCCUAUCAGUAAGUCCAUUAAAUACUUGGAUCAGAUUACUAAGGUCAACUAAGAGUGCUAUUUCACAUCAAGGCUGCACCAAACCAACAGCUGAAAUAGGAAAGUCUUAGUCUCUGCUCCUCCACCUCUGCUCCUUCCGCCCUCAUUCUCCCUUGCUCUUGUUUCUCUGGCUUUUUCUCCCAGGGCUGGGUUCCCCCCUCUGAGCUGUACACACCCUACAAAUGAUUUCUGCACAUCAACACUUCCAAGCACACAUCCUUUGCGCAGUAUGUCACAUAGCACACCUCCCAUCCAGAACAACAGGCCCUUUCUUCCAGCUUCUGUCCAGCAAAACGUCUUAGUCCAUACACCUAGCCACAGCCCAAAAUAGAGUAAGGAGGGGGAUGGCUGGGCCAUAUUUGGGCUAUGUUUUAAUAGGCUGGGUUUCAUGCACAACAAAGCUGUGGAAAGCAUUUGGGAUAUUUGCAGUUAGCAAGGUAGCUACACGUAAGGAGGUUGAUACGUGCAUUCAACUUAAAGCAGAAGGUAUGAUUCUGCUAACAUCAUUUAGGUGGAGAAUUUCACCACUCAGCUAUUUCUGUGAGCCUUUGCAGUACCACUGGAGUUCUUUCAAACUGAGCCUAAGAAUUAUAUAGUCCCUCUAGCUGUAGCAUUAGAGCACCUCCCAAGUAUUUAAAAAUAGAAGUCACAGUAACAAUCUCCCUUUCUUAUUUGGCAGCCAGGAGAAGAAAUACUUGGUGUAACUUAUACAUUUGUUUGCAUAUUCAUGGGUGGGAGCAAGUUAUUUGUUGAUGUGUUUGUGAGAAAAAUUAAGUUUGUCUCAGUGACUUAAAAUUAUUUUAGCACAGAAAAUGAUGACUUCAGUGACUUCAGUGGCAGUUUUACACAUACGCAUAUUGCAACUCAAUGAACCGCCUUGUGCCCCCUUGGAUUUCUGAGGCUUUGCCUAGAGGGCUAAGGCGUGGUCAAGGCUGCAACCUAGAGCAUGUUGUUCCUGUUAAUUAGCUGUUGGGGUCUCCACAACAUGAAGAACUUUCCGUCCCCUCGUUUCUGCUUCUGGGCAAAGCACACCACUGCUUCUGAAAUGCUUCAGUCCUCUGGAAAGCCUUUUCAAACACUCGAACAGGCCACCCAUGUGGCAUAGACAUCAACUGUUUAUUUGUGGAGGCUUCUCUCUAAUAGGAAAAUGUGCUGCUUCACUCCACACCCUUUGUCAGCCAGAGCAGCUGACUGCCACAGGAUGUAGUGUCUAUCAAGAACCAGGUCCUUGGAUCCCAGAUGUGUGUAUGCAUGAAGUAUGGCCCUCGGUUCACACAUCUAUACAUUCAGGAGGGACACACUUCAGACUGAGGUCAUCACAUUACUGAGAAAGGCAAAGAACAUUUUAAAUCUUCCCAGGUUAGCAAUUUAUCAAGGAUAAAGCCCAGAAGGUGGCUGAGCCUGGAUAAUCCAUGGAAAAUGAUUAAACCACAAUCUGGAUAAAUUAAAGAUCAGUAUUUAGUGGGGAUGGGAAGGAUAGAGAAUGGAAAUGGAAGAAUUCAAUCCAGUCACCUGACUCCAAAUAUAAAUUGGAGGUAAAUACGGGGUACAUAAAGCUAGAAUACCUUCCCAAACUGAGAUUAUCAUACAUGAUCUAAAGACACAGGAUGUCUUUAGACACUAAGACUGAAUGUCCAAACUUUUGAUAGCUUGUCAGGUAGAUGCAGGGAUGAAAGAAAGAUCAAGGGACAUUUCUUCCCUGGGUGUGAUCCUAAAUAAAGUAGAUAACUUUACUUUUCUUUCCUUUCUGCCUCCUAUUCAAGGAAAAAAGAAGGAAAUAAAACACACACACACACACAAAAAAAAACAGUUUCUUAGUGCUCUAUUGUUACUAGCUAAUUUCUUUUCAUAAAUCCAAAUUUUAACAUGUUUGUCCACAAUACUUGCAUCCUUUUGCUUCUUGAAGCUCCAGAUUUUCUGGGGAAGUAUCCUUCAAACAAUGAAAAACUUUGGCAAAAGGAGCUUCUAUAAUACUCAUUAUGGACUUGGAGGGCUGAAAAUGGCCAGAGCUUCUCUUUCUCCCCGGGAGAGUAAUGCAGGUAAUGUGGUGCCAUCUCAUAGCCUUUUGAAAGAUGCAAGAUAUCACCCCAACAGGAGCCUCCCUUGUAAUAUAGUCCCCAUGGACAGAUGAUGCAACAGGUGAGCUGCUGCUGCUGAGCUGCUGGAUGCCAAUUUGCCUCUGUUGCAACAAAUCCUACUCUGGCUGGAUCUUUGUCCCCAUUCCCACUGUUCCACUCAGCUCAUCAAACCUUGUUUUGGAGGCUUCCUGAUGAGCACCUGCUUUUCUCACCCCUGGCUUAGAAUAGCUUAAGCCUCCCAUGAUGCCUGCUUUGAAUCCAGUCUCUUCAACCACACAACCAGCCAAGUGAGCUAAAGGUUCUUUUGUCUAUCCCAAAUCACGGCUGACCAACAAACCUGGAACAAACAUGACCCAACAGCUUCUAUAUCGUCAUGUGCAAUUAGUGACACACAGAGUUAACUAUGGCUUUUCCUCACUCCAAUAACACCUCUAUGUCUGAACAACUUUCUAAAAUUUUCAGAGGCUUGUUCAUCGAGUCCAUGCAUAUUCCAGCAUGCUACAUCAGGAUUUGUCUAGCUGGUCUUAAAGGAAGCAAAUCACUUUUCAUUUCACCAUUCCGAACUAGCAUUUCCUGCACAAAAUCAGAAUUGUUAUGGUUGGAAAGCAUAUCUGAAAAUCAUCUAGUCCAUACUUGUCC